This is a long non-coding RNA of Sphaeramia orbicularis (orbiculate cardinalfish), 152 nucleotides long. RefSeq lists it as uncharacterized. The record is from RefSeq and is a predicted model, not a curated record. The transcript is spliced from 4 exons. Lineage: Eukaryota; Metazoa; Chordata; Actinopteri; Kurtiformes; Apogonidae.
ACAUUUUUUUUACAUGGAAACAUAAUAAUAUAGUUUUAUACUGUGAUAAAUAUCAAUGCAUUGGUUACUUUUCUUUAAAUUGUUAUCGCUGCUUCCAAAAUGCCUCAGAGAUGGUUUUUAUUUAAUUUCUCUCAACAUUAAUUUUUACAUUU